Molecule: non-coding RNA, 320 nt
Organism: Cinara cedri
Lineage: Eukaryota; Metazoa; Arthropoda; Insecta; Hemiptera; Aphididae
Source: the annotation of a GenBank genome assembly
UCCAUUGUUAUUCCUAACGUCCAAAUACUAUAUAAUUAUAUGAUAAUACGAAGAACACGUGCAUGUCAAUUAGCUGUAUUGAUAUUUUUUACUCGCAACAUAGAUAAUUCCUACACAAUGAUGAGACUUUAUUUGUUAAUAGGCGUUGCUGGAUACUUAGGUUCGCACAACAUUAAAGUAUGCAAUCACGUCUCAAUAUACGCAAUGAAAAACGAAACAAUUCAUGGAAGAAAAGUAAAUUUAUUGGCGAGUAGGACAUUGAUAAUAUUAUUACUGUCGCUCUUCUUUAUUCGUGCACGUAACUAUUAAUAUACACAACU